UUCAACAGAAUACCCUUGCUGUCUCCUUUUCUAUUGACUGGUUAUUGCUGCACCUGUGAAUCUUCAAAUUACCUUCACCUGAUUGGGCAACUAGUGUUUGGCUGUCACUUUUUCUGCCUGUUUGGGAACUCUGUUCUUUCCUGCCCUAUUCAGCCCUAGUGCAGAAAAAAGAUUGAACCGAGACAAGCUGAUCAUAAGGCCCUGGAAGAGAACCAAUGCUCUGGUGCUUCACUGAAGAUAUGCCUUUUCUGUAAGGAGCUGGACGCUAUCCUUGGCGGUGACCCCACCUCCACCAACAAGAGACCUCUGGAUACUUCAGAGGGCAUGGAGGCAGUGCACAGAAGACCUAGCCCGGAGGAUGAAACUGUAGAUGAGGUGAUUGUGGCUGAUGUGGACCAGGAGCUCUUCCCCGGAUAUAUCUGGCAGCCAGGAACUGUUCUCCACUGCUGACACACAUAGCCGGUCUGAGCAGUCACUUUCCGGGGAUCAAGAAGCAGAUGAUGAGAUGCGGGCCACCGCCAUCCCAUCACUACUUACGAUAAGUGAAGGUCAUGCCAAAGAUCCAUCUUGCCCAGUAUCCUGUCCUUUGACUUUGGCCAAUGCCAGAUGCACAAGAAC
This is a non-coding RNA of Pelodiscus sinensis (Chinese soft-shelled turtle), 618 nucleotides long. The record is from RefSeq and is a predicted model, not a curated record. NCBI's taxonomy places the organism in Eukaryota, Metazoa, Chordata, Testudines, Trionychidae.